This is a long non-coding RNA of Pyrus x bretschneideri (Chinese white pear), 1124 nucleotides long. RefSeq lists it as uncharacterized. NCBI's taxonomy places the organism in Eukaryota, Viridiplantae, Streptophyta, Magnoliopsida, Rosales, Rosaceae. The record is from RefSeq and is a predicted model, not a curated record. The transcript has 7 exons.
UUAUUUCUUCUUCCUCUGCUUUGCUUUAGCUGCUGCUUCUUCUUCUCCCCCCUUUUGGUUCCCCCUCUCUUGCUUUAUUUCUUCUGAUGUUUUCUCUCUCUCUCUCUCUCUCUCUCUCUCUCUUGCUCUCUUCAAAAUCCCACAACAGUGUUUGGAGUUGGAGGCUUUUGCUCUGUUGGGUUUUUUUUUUUUUUUUUUUUUCCAAUAACUCAAAGGGCCGAAAGGUAUUCCCAUUUCAUAUUCUUCUCUCCCAAUUUCUUUAGGGUUAAUUUCAAUUUUCUUAUGCUGUUUGCAGCGGUGCUUUUUAGGGUUUAACUAUUUGAUUUCACAGAUUCAUUACAGACACAGUAAAUAAGUACAUUUUAAAUUCGUAUUUCAUAACUUGGUUGCUUAAUUCUACUGCCACUGUUCAUCGGCCUCUCCUACGAAACAGCAAGGGUAUAUCACUAUGGAAGAACUAGAGCAAGUCCUCCAUGAAUACGGCUUGCAUGGUGAAUUUUAAUCUUUCCAGGUACAACCAUAUUUCACUCCCUCUGAUCUUUGAGAGGAUAAACACUGUUUGACUGAUCGCACAAGAUUGGUUCCUGUGACCACUGCUCAGCUUCAUGUACAAAUAUGACUAGCGGGUCAAGUUCCAUAAGGAGGUGGAAGCAGAAGAAGAAUUGGCGUCACCCUUUAGUUUUGCAACCAAAAGGAGGUACUAUGCAUUGGGACCCAACAAUCCACCAUAUGCUGCCAAGUUCUACGACUUUUGUGGGGCUUGAUGGCACUUUACCUCCAAACCUAGGUCAAAAUGCUAAUCAUAUUCUGAAAAAUGUUGGGUUUCCUGAUGAGUACUCUGGCUGAAUUCAAGAGGCUAAUUUAGUGAUUUGCAGUUAAUUUUGUAAAUUUAUUGAAUGAAGUCAUUUGUUAUUUAGCUUAUCUUGUGUUUAGUUUGGUUUUAGGAGAGGGUUGCGCAUGAUCUAUAGAAUCACAAUUAAGGGUCAGUUUUUCCAACAAUUUUUCUUUUUCUUUUUGCUUCAUGUUUGUGCAUGUUUGGUCUCUGAGAUUUUGUUUUUAGUCACUGUUGAUUUGUAGUUUAUGUCUCCCUUUGGCUACAUAUUGACACAAGUUUAUUCUCGGCA